AAUGGCGGCUGCUUACCAUGCAAGUCGAGCGGAGAUAUAAAAAGAAAGCCCUUCGGGGUGGAAUUUUUACAUCUUAGCGGCGGACGGGUGCGUAACACGUGGGUAACCUGCCCCUAUCACUGGGAUAACACACUGAAAAGUGUGCUAAUACCAGAUAAUAUAAGCUUUUGGCAUCAUUAGCUUAUCAAAGAAUUUCGGAUAGGGAUGGGCCCGCGUCUGAUUAGCUAGUUGGUGAGGUAACGGCUCACCAAGGCAACGAUCAGUAGCCGACCUGAGAGGGUGAUCGGCCACACUGGAACUGAGACACGGUCCAGACUCCUACGGGAGGCAGCAGUGGGGAAUAUUGCACAAUGGGCGAAAGCCUGAUGCAGCAACGCCGCGUGAGCGAUGAAGGCCUUCGGGUCGUAAAGCUCUGUCCUAUGGGAAGAUAAUGACGGUACCAUAGGAGGAAGCCCCGGCUAACUACGUGCCAGCAGCCGCGGUAAUACGUAGGGGGCAAGCGUUAUCCGGAAUUACUGGGCGUAAAGGGUGCGUAGGCGGUUUAUCAAGUCAGGGGUGAAAGGCUACGGCUCAACCGUAGUGAGCCUCUGAAACUGGUGAACUUGAGUGUAGGAGAGGAAAGUGGAAUUCCCAGUGUAGCGGUGAAAUGCGUAGAUAUUGGGAGGAACACCAGUGGCGAAGGCGACUUUCUGGACUACAACUGACGCUGAGGCACGAAAGCGUGGGGAGCAAACAGGAUUAGAUACCCUGGUAGUCCACGCUGUAAACGAUGAGUACUAGGUGUCGGCUGUCAAAGGUCGGUGCCGGCGUUAACACAUUA
Molecule: ribosomal RNA, 820 nt
Filed under: uncultured Clostridium sp.
Lineage: Bacteria; Bacillati; Bacillota; Clostridia; Eubacteriales; Clostridiaceae
Description: bacterial SSU rRNA
Rfam family: Bacterial small subunit ribosomal RNA
Source: RNAcentral